RNAcentral lists this ribosomal RNA (490 nucleotides) under uncultured bacterium. Its description in RNAcentral is "partial 16S ribosomal RNA". It matches the Rfam family "Bacterial small subunit ribosomal RNA", at positions 30 to 507 of the family's 1533-position model. The record is from RNAcentral.
AUUGAACGCUGGCGGCAGGCCUAACACAUGCAAGUCGAACGGUAACAGGAAGCAGCUUGCUGCUUCGCUGACGAGUGGCGGACGGGUGAGUAAUGUCUGGGAAACUGCCUGAUGGAGGGGGAUAACUACUGGAAACGGUAGCUAAUACCGCAUAACGUCGCAAGACCAAAGAGGGGGACCUUAGGGCCUCUUGCCAUCGGAUGUGCCCAGAUGGGAUUAGCUAGUAGGUGGGGUAACGGCUCACCUAGGCGACGAUCCCUAGCUGGUCUGAGAGGAUGACCAGCCACACUAGAACUGAAACACGGUCCAGACUCCUACGGGAGGCAGCAGUGGGGAAUAUUGCACAAUGGGCGCAAGCCUGAUGCAGCCAUGCCGCGUGUAUGAAGAAGGCCUUCGGGUUGUAAAGUACUUUCAGCGGGGAGGAAGGGAGUAAAGUUAAUACCUUUGCUCAUUGACGUUACCCGCAGAAGAAGCACCGGCUAACUCCGUG